This 503-nucleotide ribosomal RNA is filed under the name uncultured bacterium. RNAcentral's name for it is "partial 16S ribosomal RNA". It matches the Rfam family "Bacterial small subunit ribosomal RNA", at positions 30 to 523 of the family's 1533-position model. The record is from RNAcentral.
AUUGAACGCUGGCGGCAUGCCUUACACAUGCAAGUCGAGCGGGGUGAUGGUGCUUGCACUAUCACUUAGCGGCGGACGAGUGAGUAAUGCUUAGGAAUCUGCCUAUUAGUGGGGGACAACAUCUCGAAAGGGAUGCUAAUACCGCAUACGUCCUACGGGAGAAAGCAGGGGAUCACUUGUGACCUUGCGCUAAUAGAUGAGCCUAAGUCGGAUUAGCUAGUUGGUGGGGUAAAGGCCUACCAAGGCGACGAUCUGUAGCGGGUCUGAGAGGAUGAUCCGCCACACUGGGACUGAGACACGGCCCAGACUCCUACGGGAGGCAGCAGUGGGGAAUAUUGGACAAUGGGGGGAACCCUGAUCCAGCCAUGCCGCGUGUGUGAAGAAGGCCUUAUGGUUGUAAAGCACUUUAAGCGAGGAGGAGGCUCUUUUGGUUAAUACCCAAGAUGAGUGGACGUUACUCGCAGAAUAAGCACCGGCUAACUCUGUGCCAGCAGCCGCCGUAA